This 425-nucleotide ribosomal RNA is filed under the name uncultured Alphaproteobacteria bacterium. RNAcentral describes it as "bacterial SSU rRNA". It matches the Rfam family "Bacterial small subunit ribosomal RNA", at positions 8 to 480 of the family's 1533-position model. Lineage: Bacteria; Pseudomonadati; Pseudomonadota; Alphaproteobacteria. The record is from RNAcentral.
AGAGUUUGAUCCUGGCUCAGAACGAACGCUGGCGGCAGGCCUAACACAUGCAAGUCGAACGAUGCCUUCGGGCGUAGUGGCGCACGGGUGAGUAACACGUGGGAACAUACCUUUUGGUGGGGGAUAACUUCGGGAAACUGAAGCUAAUACCGCAUACGCCCCUUGGGGGAAAGAUUUAUCGCCGAAAGAUUGGCCCGCGUCCGAUUAGCUAGUUGGUGAGGUAAUGGCUCACCAAGGCUCCGAUCGGUAGCUGGUCUGAGAGGAUGACCAGCCACACUGGGACUGAGACACGGCCCAGACUCCUACGGGAGGCAGCAGUGGGGAAUAUUGGACAAUGGGCGCAAGCCUGAUCCAGCCAUGCCGCGUGAGUGAUGAAGGCCUUAGGGUUGUAAAGCUCUUCACCCACGACGAUGAUGACGGUAGUG